CGGGGUGUAGCUUAGCCUGGUAGAGCGCCUGGUUUGGGACCAGGAGGUCGCGAGUUCGAAUCUCGCCGCCCCGACCA
RNAcentral lists this transfer RNA (77 nucleotides) under Opitutus sp. RNAcentral describes it as "tRNA-Pro". It matches the Rfam family "tRNA". From Rfam's summary of the family: Transfer RNA (tRNA) molecules are approximately 80 nucleotides in length. Their secondary structure includes four short double-helical elements and three loops (D, anti-codon, and T loops). Further hydrogen bonds mediate the characteristic L-shaped molecular structure. tRNAs have two regions of fundamental functional importance: the anti-codon, which is responsible for specific mRNA codon recognition, and the 3' end, to which the tRNAs corresponding amino acid is attached (by aminoacyl-tRNA synthetases). tRNAs cope with the degeneracy of the genetic code in two manners: having more than one tRNA (with a specific anti-codon) for a particular amino acid; and 'wobble' base-pairing, i.e. permitting non-standard base-pairing at the 3rd anti-codon position. RNAcentral also lists the same sequence under 10 other names. The record is from RNAcentral. Lineage: Bacteria; Pseudomonadati; Verrucomicrobiota; Opitutia; Opitutales; Opitutaceae.